AACGUAGGAGGCAAGCGUUAUCCGGAUUUACUGGGCGUAAAGCGCGUGCAGGCGGUGAGGUAAGUCGUGCGUGAAAGCUCCCUGGCUCAACCGGGAGGGGACGUGCGAGACUGCCUGACUAGAGGUCAGUAGAGGCAAGUAGAAUUCCGGGUGGAGUGGUGAAAUGCGUAGAGAUCCGGAGGAAUACCAGUGGCGAAGGCGGCUUGCUGGGCUGCACCUGACGCUCAGACGCGACAGCAUGGGGAGCGAACGGG
Molecule: ribosomal RNA, 254 nt
Filed under: uncultured bacterium
Lineage: Bacteria
Description: partial 16S ribosomal RNA
Rfam family: Bacterial small subunit ribosomal RNA
Source: RNAcentral